GCUGUGGUUCAAAAUAUGCCUAGAUUUCAGAAUAUCGCUGCGUAUCCGUACGAAGUGAUGUGAGUGCACGCACAGGAACAUGGACUGAAUACGCCAAAACUGGCUGAAGACAAGAAAUAAAUAAAUUAAAAUCAAAUAUUAUUCCUGUGUUACCUGCAUGGCUACCGAGAUAUUGGGGCGUGGAAUGGUGGCUGGCUGGCUGGCUAACUGGCUGCUUGUAGAUUGAGGAUGGGAUGAACCCUUUCAAACACCCCGUACCGCCCACUGGCUUGUCCCUACGUCCUGGCAAAACUCCACAUUAUGGGAAGGGGAAAGAAUCUAUGCAAGAUGUGUUGGGUGAACAGCGGUGUAUACGUCGAAGCAUUGAAGAAUGUUGUCAGCAUCGUCGUGCAUAAAGUUACGGAACGAGCCUUUCCUCCCAUUUUUCCCAUUUCUUUUCUUUUUUUUGAACUCG
This 454-nucleotide small RNA is filed under the name Histoplasma capsulatum var. duboisii H88. RNAcentral describes it as "Histoplasma capsulatum H88 hypothetical RNA". Lineage: Eukaryota; Fungi; Ascomycota; Eurotiomycetes; Onygenales; Ajellomycetaceae. The record is from RNAcentral.